RNAcentral lists this ribosomal RNA (253 nucleotides) under uncultured bacterium. RNAcentral's name for it is "partial 16S ribosomal RNA". It matches the Rfam family "Bacterial small subunit ribosomal RNA", at positions 524 to 776 of the family's 1533-position model. The record is from RNAcentral.
UACGUAGGGUCCGAGCGUUGUCCGGAAUUAUUGGGCGUAAAGGGCUCGUAGGCGGUUCGUCACGUCGGGAGUGAAAACUCGGAGCUUAACUCCGAGCCUGCUUCCGAUACGGGCAGACUAGAGGUAGGCAGGGGAGAGCGGAACUCCUGGUGUAGCGGUGGAAUGCGCAGAUAUCAGGAAGAACACCGGUGGCGAAGGCGGCUCUCUGGGCCUUACCUGACGCUCAGGCGCGAAAGCUAGGGGAGCGAACUGG